Molecule: unclassified non-coding RNA, 345 nt
Filed under: soil metagenome
Description: partial contains 5.8S ribosomal RNA, internal transcribed spacer 2, and large subunit ribosomal RNA
Rfam family: 5.8S ribosomal RNA (bases 1-120)
Source: RNAcentral
GAUGAAGAACGCAGCGAAAUGCGAUACGUAAUGUGAAUUGCAGAAUUCAGUGAAUCAUCGAGUCUUUGAACGCACAUUGCGCCCUCUGGUAUUCCGGAGGGCAUGCCUGUCCGAGCGUCAUUGCUGCCCUCAAGCACGGCUUGUGUGUUGGGCCCCGCCCCCCGAUCCCGGGGGGCGGGCCCGAAGGGCAGCGGCGGCACCGCGUCCGGUCCUCGAGCGUAUGGGGCUUUGUCACCCGCUCUGUAGGCCCGGCCGGCGCUUGCCGAUCAACCAAACUUUUUUCCAGGUUGACCUCGGAUCAGGUAGGGAUACCCGCUGAACUUAAGCAUAUCAAUAAGCGGAGGA